AAGUCGUAACAAGGUCUCCGUUGGUGAACCAGCGGAGGGAUCAUUACCGAGUUUACAACUCCCAAACCCAAUGUGAACGUUACCAAACUGUUGCCUCGGCGGGGUCACGCCCCGGGUGCGUAAAAGCCCCGGAACCAGGCGCCCGCCGGAGGAACCAACCAAACUCUUUCUGUAGUCCCCUCGCGGACGUAUUUCUUACAGCUCUGAGCAAAAAUUCAAAAUGAAUCAAAACUUUCAACAACGGAUCUCUUGGUUCUG
This 258-nucleotide unclassified non-coding RNA is filed under the name Trichoderma evansii. RNAcentral describes it as "partial internal transcribed spacer region". The stretch from base 1 to 46 matches the Rfam family "Eukaryotic small subunit ribosomal RNA", at positions 1786 to 1831 of the family's 1831-position model. The record is from RNAcentral. Lineage: Eukaryota; Fungi; Ascomycota; Sordariomycetes; Hypocreales; Hypocreaceae. RNAcentral also lists the same sequence under 3 other names.